AUUCCUUGUUCAUGACAUUCAGCCUUUGUUGUAUCAGGCCCCUGAUGUCAAACAGUGGAACCUCAUGAUGCUGAAGGUCACAGAGCUGCUGGAGGAUAAAGACAGCGUCGCGGUGAAGCUCACUGCUGCGAGCAUGCUGAAAGAAUGUCCCACGUGGAGCGAGGACGAGGAGCUCCUGCCCGCCCUGCUGCGAUGGAAGGGUCUCUCUGGAUGGGAGGUGAAGGAGGUUCUGGAGGUGUUGGACUCACUUUCGGAGCACAAACCCAGUUCCAGAUCUGUAUCCUGGUACUCCUGUUUAACCUGCUGGUGACGGAUCGACUGCAACAAGCAGAGAAGAAGACAGACUUGGACUUUUAAUCAGCUGCCUCCUGUGGAAACCCGUUCCGUUAAUUCUUCCACCGUCUGAUCUAAAGACGGAUGCACAGACAGAAGUUACAGAAGGUUUUUAUAAGAUAUGGCACAAAAGUAUGAUGAGCUUUGUGCACAAGAGGCUGCUCAUCAGUUAGCCCACAUGUUACUGUUCCUGUUUUUUCAGGGAAAGGCGAAUAGGAGUUUUUUAAACCCUUGUUGACCAAGUUUAGCUUUUUCUUUCACAAUUUGCUAAUAUGCUAAUCUGUGCUUUGGUGGGUGAUGGUUUUUUCAUGACUUUAGUUUUAAAACAAGCAAAGUGAAAGUUUUUUACAUUUUCUAUGUGUUUUUUUUUAAAGAUAUUUUGUUGGAUUAUGUUUGAGGGAGAGAGUUACACCGUUAAGUUAAGGCUGAGUUUCUGAAACUGUACUGAUUUUUUUUGACAAUCAAAUGACGACCAGAGAGGAUUUAAAGGAAAUGUUAACUUUAUUGUUCUGUUGUGCAGUUACACAUUUACUUUUAGUUUGUUUACCGUCAAUUGCUCUGUGGAUUUAAGGCACUACAUGUAGAAACGUUAAGGGAUUUUUACUUGAACUUGUUCUUAUUUAAUAUUAUUUAUUAAGUUUUGAAUUAUUUAUUUACAUGUAAGCUUUACAGAAACUUCUCAGUGUUCACUAAACAACAAUCGGUGGUACGAUAUCAAACUUCACUGUUCAGAACAAAAAAACCUGUUUGAAUUAUUCUUUAACUACAGAUUCUGAUGAUGUUCAGUAUCAUUUGUUAUUUAUGUGUUCAUGUCUAAUAAAAUCAGGGCACAGAAGUGUUUUCUAUCUGAGUUUACAGGUUUUUUAUUCCCCCUUAACUCAGUACAAAGUGCACAUUGAGUUCAUGCAUUUGUAUUAUCUUAAUGUUUAUUUUGUUGACAGUCUUUUACUGUACGUUGGGUUGGUUCUCGUCUCUUUCUGUCAGCGAUGACAUGAAUAAACUUCAGUAUGAUUCAAUGAAAAGUCAGAGUUCAGCUUCAUUGUUCCUCCACUAGAUGGAGUCCAACAUCAUCUUAAUAAAGACUCAAAAGGAAGAAGCUCCACAACACUGACAGAAAACAGAAAACAGAUCCCAG
This 1468-nucleotide long non-coding RNA is filed under the name Sparus aurata (gilthead seabream). RNAcentral's name for it is "lncRNA (ENSSAUG00010016109.1)". The record is from RNAcentral. Lineage: Eukaryota; Metazoa; Chordata; Actinopteri; Spariformes; Sparidae.